This 431-nucleotide ribosomal RNA is filed under the name uncultured bacterium. Its description in RNAcentral is "partial 16S ribosomal RNA". It matches the Rfam family "Bacterial small subunit ribosomal RNA", at positions 29 to 507 of the family's 1533-position model. The record is from RNAcentral.
AACGAACGCUGGCGGCAGGCUUAACACAUGCAAGUCGAGCGCCCCGCAAGGGGAUCGGCAGACGGGUGAGUAACGCGUGGGAACGUACCUUUUGGUUCGGAACAACUCCGGGAAACUGGAGCUAAUACCGGAUAAGCCCUAACGGGGAAAGAUUUAUCGCCGAAAGAUCGGCCCGCGUCUGAUUAGCUAGUUGGUGAGGUAACGGCUCACCAAGGCGACGAUCAGUAGCUGGUCUGAGAGGAUGAUCAGCCACACUGGGACUGAGACACGGCCCAGACUCCUACGGGAGGCAGCAGUGGGGAAUAUUGGACAAUGGGCGCAAGCCUGAGCCAGCCAUGCCGCGUGAGUGAUGAAGGCCUUAGGGUUGUAAAGCUCUUUUGUCCGGGAAGAUAAUGACUGUACCGGAAGAAUAAGCCCCGGCUAACUUCGUG